Non-coding RNA from Chelonoidis abingdonii (Abingdon island giant tortoise), 348 nucleotides. The record is from RefSeq and is a predicted model, not a curated record. NCBI's taxonomy places the organism in Eukaryota, Metazoa, Chordata, Testudines, Testudinidae.
GAGUCCUUCAUAUUCAGGGAAGCCAAUCGAAGCUCCUGGGAGUUCAGCACUUUUGAAAAUUUGGCUUUAUGAAUCCAAUUACAGGCUACCUCUGACUAUAUAGGAAAGCCUAGGCAGACUGUCCAACGUGCAUGGCCUUUGGCAAUAAGCUCUGCACAGACUGGGAUACUAUAACAGGACAUUACUCCACAAAGGGUGAAAUAGAAGCAGCAUCCAGACAUCUGCGUCUCAUACCAGGUCCCUUCCCAUGGUAGUCUGGGAAUCCUAUCAUCACUCAUACUCCAUCCUUUCCCAUCUUUCCAAGGAUUUUCAGAAGAAGAGUCAAGGUGGAGAAGGGUGGAUGGAAAU